GAACGCAUCUUGCGCUCCUUGGUAUUCUGAGGAGCAUGCCUGUUUGAGGGUCAUUAAUAUAUCUCGACCACACCUGCGUGUGUGGCUCGGACUUGGGGGGAUGGUGCAGGCUCCAGCUCUGUGGUCUGCUCCCCUGAAAUGCAUUGGCGGUUUUUUUAUGACCUCUGCUCUGGGUGUGAUAAUCUAUCUGCAUUCAAGCGAGUCGUGCUGCCAUCGUGUGGCCCCUUUUGUUCUUGACCUCAAAUCAGGUAGGACCACCCGCUGAACUUA
RNAcentral lists this unclassified non-coding RNA (270 nucleotides) under Inosperma adaequatum. RNAcentral's name for it is "sequence contains 5.8S rRNA gene". The record is from RNAcentral. Lineage: Eukaryota; Fungi; Basidiomycota; Agaricomycetes; Agaricales; Inocybaceae.